Long non-coding RNA from Nothobranchius furzeri (turquoise killifish), 4201 nucleotides. NCBI's taxonomy places the organism in Eukaryota, Metazoa, Chordata, Actinopteri, Cyprinodontiformes, Nothobranchiidae. The record is from Ensembl.
AUGAGGCGUCUGAGCAGCGUUUGGCUGAGGAAGUGUAAGGACAAGGACAGAUGGAUGGAAAGAAGGACAAGUGAGCCUUCAAGGGGUGGAGAAGAGGAAGAGGACGAAGAGAAGACAGACCUGAGACAAAGACAGACCCACAGGCAGAUGCUUAGGACCUCUGAGCCAUGUGGACAAAUCGACAGAGAUGAAAAGACCGAGAAGAAAAAGAAUGAGAGGAGAGGGUCUGAGUUCAUGAUGGAGGAGGACAGGAGGAGGAUGGAGACGAGUAGAGGGACACAGCAGAGAAAGUCUACAUCCUGUUUCUUGGUGGAGGAUCCAGCUGAAGUUGGUAGGAAGACAGCGAGGCGCCGGUCAGAGCCCUGUGGUGUCCUGCAGGUCCAGGUUCUUCCUGUUUCCUGCAGGAAGAGAUGGACAGGACGCAGAAUGUCCUGUAACGAGGAGGUGAACAGGAGACAGGGGGACAGUCAUGUAACCAGGAGGACAUCCUCAUCAAACAGUUAAACAUCUCUAUGGGUGAGCUUUAUGACGAGUGUGUCACUGCAACCAGCCUUCUGGAGCACCUCACCAAAGGACCUCAGGAGAAGGAAAAGUGGCAGUUCAAGGGAACAGCAGUGGAUGGAAAUUCUUCAGGCAGCUGACCUCCCCAACAUCCAGCCUGUUGUAUCCUUUGUACUCAGCAUCCCAUCUUCCACUGGGUUUGCAGAGAGGAUUUUCUCUCUCGUGAAGAAUAAGUGGACUGAUGUGCGGAACAAAUGUUAUGUUGUGUUGUCUGAAGUCUGUUGCAUAUCUGUCUGAGGUGUUUUUUGCAGAGCAAAGCUGCCCUCCCUGUGGAGGGUAUCUCUGAAGUGCCUUUUUUCCCUCCAUCUGAACCCAUCCUCAUAUAAACCCUCUGACCUCUAUUAAGGUAACGCGACUCAGGUUGUGAAUGACCACAGUCACCAAUUCUUGUCAUGUGUCUUGCCCAUGUAUGUCUGAUCUCUGAAUUGUGUGUACUGAAACUCUAAUCUCCCUCUGGGAUUAAUAAAGUAUCUGUGAUUGAUUGAUUGAUUGAGUGAGUGAUUGAUUGAUUCUACUGAAUUAGAUGUGAGCUCAUUGUCACUCUAAAUUAUGACAUGUCUUGCUCAGUUUUAUUCUGCAGUACUGAAAGACAAACAACUCCUAAAUGCAGCAAGACCUCAAAAGAAAUACAAAUGGAGGAAAUAGUCUGUUUUCACAUAAUGUAGCACUGAGCUUUUGAGUUCAUGAGUUUGGGCUUUUUUUUUAAACUUCAACUGUAGGCUACAGUCAAGGCCUUUGAGGCACAAAUAUGUUUACAGCUUCUCCAGACUUUCUGUUUGCACUUUUCUAAUUAUACUAAAUGUGCACUGUUAGAGUUGUGUUCUUGAUAGGGAUGCACCGAUCAGGUUUUUUGCUGCCGAUCACCAAUACCGAUCACCGAUACCGAUCACGUGGAUUGGCCAGAAAUUUUCUACAACAUUAUAAUGAGUGCUACAAACUACAUAAUCUGGGAAUAAAGGGAAUGUAACCUAAUCCAAAAUGGUCUGUAUUAAGGUUGUCACGGUGUGAAAAUGUAACCUCACGGUUAUUGUGACCAAAAUUACCACGGUUUUCGGUAUUAUCGCUGUAUUUUUUUAAACGUGCUACAUUUUCACACAAUUAAAUAAACCCUGUAUGUCAGGAAAUAUUGUCCUCAGUUUGUGUCUAAAUUUUGCCUAAAAUGUGUUAUUUUGUAAUUAUGUUGUUUAUUUGUUUACAUUUUUCCCCUUUAGUCUUUAAAAUACCAAUAUUUGCCCAUAACUUCUUAUUUUUUGUCUGUUUGAUGUCAUCAUUUUAAAAAUAUUAGAUCAGAUGAUACUCAGUACUCAAGUAGCCUUCUAAUCAGAUACUUUUUUACCCUUACUUGAGUAAUAAACCCUAUAUCAGGAAAAUAUCGUCCUCGGUUUGUGUCCUUCCAGUGAGCUUUGCAGAUGUGGGAAAAUGUCAUCAGGCAGUAAUCAUUGUUAAAUUCAUAAUUAUUCUCGGAGAGAGACCAACUCUUAUCUGCCCCUGGGAGCCCCGUAAUGCAUAGCGUCAUUUCAACAUGGCGGUGUCCGCGACACGGUUUAUAUGCAGGUAGCGGCGCUGCGGCUGCUUUAUAUAGCGACUCGUUGCAUUCUCCCUCAACCCAAAUCCUCGGAUCACGCAUUUUAGCUAAAACGCUAACGUUAGCUUGCCUUGCGUUGACUGUAGAGUUGUGGGUGAUGGUCACGCAGAUGUGUCAUGAGAUUUGAAGCGUUGCUGCCUUUCACAGACACUUUUUCUGCACGUGCUGCAAACAGGAUAGCCGUCUUCUAUCAGCUGUCCCUCGGCAUUCUUCAAAUAUCCAAAAGAUGCCCGUACUUCCCACUUUGUCUUCUUUGAGGGAUAAUAAAUGUCCUGAGCGCUGCCGUCUCCUCCUUUGGCCAUUAUUUCAGCUUUAGCUUCAAGAAAGUUUUGGUUGUAAACAACAAAGUGCGCAUGUGCCGCCGGCAACUUCAGCAGAUGAUACGGUGGCUGGUAAGGGUCACCGCGCCUACACCGCAGCCACGGUAAUCCACCAAGAUAAUAUAGUUUUUUAAAAACAAGACGGUUAUUAUUAUUGUCAACUUUUUUUUUACCGGGGUUUACCACUACACUGGUUACCGUGACAACCCUACCUGAUCGGUCUGCUUUGAUCUAUUUGAAAAUUCCAAUCAAAACCGAAAGGGGAGCUAUCGGCCGAUUACGAUCAAAUGCCGAUCCAUCGGUGCAUCCCUAGUUCUUGAUGGUUGGGGUUUAUUGGAGAAGAAGAAACCAUUUUUAUAGCACCUCUCAAGAUGAAAUCACGAGGCUCUUCACAAGAACAAACAUAAAUAAAUAUGGAAAUGAUUUUGACUAAACUCAGUUUAACUUCAAACUGGAAAAUGAGAAGGAGGACACAACUGCAGAAGAAGACGGGAGUAGAGGCAGAACGGUCAGAAACCGCAGUGUGAAGAGAAGGCGGUCCGUUUGUUUGUAGGACAGGGAUUUAAACCGGACACUGGGGGUGCUAAAGCAAGCCUGGACUGUCCCGGGUUCCUUUAGGCCUGCAGCUGGUUUCUGCAGUGAGACCAGUUUGCAGGGUUCUGCUCCUCACUGGCGAGUGUUGAAAGUUCAGGAAAAGGAGGAUCAUGUGAAAACAAACCUGAUCCUGUUGUUGCUGUCAGCUCCAGCUCAGCCGCGCCCCACACUCGGCCCAUCUGCCCCGCGUGUCGGUGUGUAUCACUUCACCGGGUUCUAAUCUCCUUGUGCUUCGCCGUGUUCUGUCCAACCGAUCACACUUGAGUCAUCACGCUCCAGGAAACCAGCUGAAGGUUUUCUCUGGAACUGAUCUGGGAUCAGGCUGAGGUGAGUUUAACUCCCAUGUGAGAGGAAACCUGAGCAAGUAAACCACCUCAGAGCAAAGCUGCUGCUGCUUUCACUGACAUCCUGUCAUUUGUACUCUCAUCUGCCCCUGAAGCUGUCCUUCAGAUUUGUCCUUGUUUCACCCUUGUUGUCAUGGAGACUGCUGUGGUUUUUGGAGCAGCUCAGCCGAGAUGGAUCAGUCACGGAGGAAGUGAUGAUUGAUGCUCCUGGACCAACAUGGAUGACCUAGACUAAACAGGGGGUGUUUCUCAAUGUCAAAGAACCUUGCCUUGAUGUCUUGGCCCCACCCCGGUUGCCUAGGAGAUAUGUCAUCAGGAACCGCCAAGACGUGUUCCAGUGUUCAUGUUCUACCGAGGCGUGUGUUCUUUUAUACGUAUUAGUUUCAACAUAAAUAUAUAAUGAACCUUUUACUUUUUAAAUUGUGUUUAUGUUUACUAAAUGACAAAUAUAAGUGAGUUACUACCCGCUAGCCACCGAAGCUGCAACUACUAAGCUACUAACCAACCAUAGAUAACUUCUUUGGAUCUAAAAAAACAUUUUAAAUUAGUUGACUUACCUUUAAACUUGAAAUUUGUCCUGAAGUAGCUGCCGGCUUCUGAUCUGCUGUCCUUUUGAAAAAUCUGCGGUGUAUUCUGGGUAAUUUUUGACCAAGGCUAGGCUACAAGACACCUCCCGUGUAUCCUUGCUCAGCUAGCUAAACGGCUAACAAAUGGAGAACACGCCUCGGUAGAACAUAAACAUUGGAACACGUCUUGGCAGCUCCUGAUGACGUAUCUCCUAGGCAACCGCGGGGGGG